AUUGAACGCUGGCGGCAGGCCUAACACAUGCAAGUCGAGCGGAUGAAGGGAGCUUGCUCCUGGAUUCAGCGGCGGACGGGUGAGUAAUGCCUAGGAAUCUGCCUGGUAGUGGGGGAUAACGUCCGGAAACGGGCGCUAAUACCGCAUACGUCCUGAGGGAGAAAGUGGGGGAUCUUCGGACCUCACGCUAUCAGAUGAGCCUAGGUCGGAUUAGCUAGUUGGUGGGGUAAAGGCCUACCAAGGCGACGAUCCGUAACUGGUCUGAGAGGAUGAUCAGUCACACUAUAACUGAGACACGUUCCAGACUCCGACGGGAGGCAGCAGUGGGGAAUAUUUGACAAUGGGCGAAAGCCUGAUCCAGCCAUGCCGCGUGUGUGAAGAAGGUCUUCGGAUUGUAAAGCACUUGAAGUUGGGAGGAAGGGCAGUAAGUUAAUACCUUGCUGUUUUGACGUGACCAACAGAAUAAGCACCGGCUAACUUCGUG
RNAcentral lists this ribosomal RNA (484 nucleotides) under uncultured bacterium. Its description in RNAcentral is "partial 16S ribosomal RNA". It matches the Rfam family "Bacterial small subunit ribosomal RNA", at positions 30 to 507 of the family's 1533-position model. The record is from RNAcentral.